RNAcentral lists this ribosomal RNA (468 nucleotides) under uncultured bacterium. RNAcentral's name for it is "partial 16S ribosomal RNA". It matches the Rfam family "Bacterial small subunit ribosomal RNA", at positions 28 to 507 of the family's 1533-position model. The record is from RNAcentral.
GACGAACGCUGGCGGCGUGCUUAACACAUGCAGGUCGAACGGAAAGGCCCUGCUUUUGUGGGGUGCUCGAGUGGCGAACGGGUGAGUAACACGUGAGUAACCUGCCCUUGACUUUGGGAUAACUUCAGGAAACUGGGGCUAAUACCGGAUAGGAGCUCCUGCUGCAUGGUGGGGGUUGGAAAGUUUCGGCGGUUGGGGAUGGACUCGCGGCUUAUCAGCCUGUUGGUGGGGUAGUGGCUUACCAAGGCUUUGACGGGUGGCCGGCCUGAGAGGGUGACCGGCCACAUUGGGACUGAGAUACGGCCCAGACUCCUACGGGAGGCAGCAGUGGGGAAUAUUGCACAAUGGGCGGAAGCCUGAUGCAGCAACGCCGCGUGCGGGAUGACGGCCUUCGGGUUGUAAACCGCUUUCGCCUGUGACGAAGCGUGAGUGACGGUAAUGGGUAAAGAAGCACCGGCUAACUACGUG